CAGUGGUUAACGCUGCUUGCUCCC
This 24-nucleotide non-coding RNA is filed under the name Rattus norvegicus (Norway rat). Lineage: Eukaryota; Metazoa; Chordata; Mammalia; Rodentia; Muridae. The record is from RNAcentral.